CCUACGGGUGGCAGCAGUGGGGAAUAUUGGUCAAUGGGCGCAAGCCUGACCCAGCAACGCCGCGUGAAGGAAGAAGGCCCUCGGGUUGUAAACUUCUUUUAUCAAGGACGCAACAAAUGACGGUACUUGAUGAAUAAGCCUCGGCUAACUACGUGCCAGCAGUCGCGGCAAUACGUAGGUGGCAAGCGUUAUCCGGAUUUACUGGGUGUAAAGGGUGUGUAGGGGGGAAUGCAAGUCAGAUGUGAAAAGUAUGGGCUCAACCCAUGGCCUGCAGUUGAAACUGUAGUUCUUGAGUGUUGGAGAGGCAGGCGGAAUUCGGGGUGUAGCGGUGAAAUGCGUAGAUAUACGGAGGAACACCGAUGGCGAAGGCAGCUUGCUGGACAAUAACUGACGCUGAGGCGCGAAAGCGUGGGGAGCAAACAGGAUUAGAUACCCCAGUAGUC
RNAcentral lists this ribosomal RNA (443 nucleotides) under uncultured bacterium. RNAcentral describes it as "partial 16S ribosomal RNA". It matches the Rfam family "Bacterial small subunit ribosomal RNA", at positions 338 to 795 of the family's 1533-position model. The record is from RNAcentral.